Hemicordylus capensis (graceful crag lizard) is the source of this 610-nucleotide long non-coding RNA. RefSeq lists it as uncharacterized. The transcript is spliced from 3 exons. The record is from RefSeq and is a predicted model, not a curated record. NCBI's taxonomy places the organism in Eukaryota, Metazoa, Chordata, Lepidosauria, Squamata, Cordylidae.
CUUUUCACGGCAUACUGUUCGUGCUAUGGAGAUGGGAAUUAUAAUCCAUUUGUCACUGUGAAUAUAGAGCUCGAAAUGAUUGCCCUGGAUUAACAGCAAGAAGGAGGGUAAGAUCAUGUGUGUGUAGCAAAUGGUAAACUAAGUUUACCACUUUUUUUCCUGUUUAUUCUAUUGCUCUGUUCCAAUAGUCCACCGGAUGUUGAUGAUGCUAGUAGACUUAAUGCCUAGCAUAGUUUAUUUUUAGAUGAGAAUGCUAAUUUUAAAUUGUUUUUAUUUGCUUCCAGUAUUAGUUGCCUUGGGAACUAUUACCACAAAAAGAUAGUCCAUAAGAAUAGCUGGAGGAAGAUAUACACUGGAUGCAGGAUUGCAUUCUCAGAGAAAAAUGAAGAAUUUUGUUACAUAUCAACUAGUUCCAUCAACUGGAAUACAACUCGUCUAUCAUUAUUGAGUAUUCACAACAUCUCCUGAGACAAUUUUCCAUCAAUGAAACAUGCAAAUCAGCUAGGAGGAAAGAAGAGUGAUCUUGGCAUCUGUUGCAGCACUCAGUUGACACAGUUAAGAGCGGUUUGGCAUGGAUGGUUCCUCUACAAGAAUGAAGGGGCAAAAUGUG